GAUUAAAUUUUAGGUAAUCGCUUCUAGUGGGGAGUAUUUGCUAGAAGUAAUGGGGAAAGUUUGGUGAAAACCCAACGCUGUCCCGCAACUGUGAUGAGAUUAUUUCUGAUUAAAUCUCUAAGUCAGAUGCUAAUGAUAAACUCACAUUUAUUU
RNAcentral lists this non-coding RNA (153 nucleotides) under Hyella patelloides LEGE 07179. Lineage: Bacteria; Bacillati; Cyanobacteriota; Cyanophyceae; Pleurocapsales; Pleurocapsaceae. The record is from RNAcentral.